This 756-nucleotide long non-coding RNA is filed under the name Olea europaea (common olive). RNAcentral's name for it is "long non-coding RNA (OEUR_LNC014576)". The record is from RNAcentral. Lineage: Eukaryota; Viridiplantae; Streptophyta; Magnoliopsida; Lamiales; Oleaceae.
AAAUUGGAAACUUAAAAAUCUUAAUUUAUUUGAAUACUCAAAUUCUAAACUGAAUAAACAUAAUGUCACGUAACAUAGAAUAUUUGUUGAAAAUUAAUAGAAACACAAAAUAUCCUAACAGAAUUAUUUCUAAAUGUUUUCUUAAAAAAAUUUACUUGGUAACCUGUGCACCGCUCAGCCACCAUCUACGUCGACCGAUCUAACAUGAAGUGUUAAAAUUGAAGGAGUGAGUAAUUUAUACUCAAUAAAAUAUGUGCGUUCAAAACAAUAUAAUAACUUUUUAAACAUUAAUUUAUAACAUUCCAUAUCAUCAUUUCAUCAAAAGCAAUCGGUGAUCAAUCUAAUGCUCAAACACAUUUCUGUGCAAACAAUUGAGAAAAUCCAAAGGAAAUCUCACUCUCACAUUUCAUUUCAUAUGGACCCGCAUGUCAAUUAAUAUCACGUAAAAAAAUCAUAAUAUUGCAAGGAUGGAUCAACUUGCACACAGUAUCCUAACUCGUUAGAUGAACGAAUAUUUUGAAUGAAUAAUCCAUGAGAGUAUUCCAAUUUCCAAAGUUCCUUGGUUGCCUUAAACGUAAUUAUUGAUAGAGAACUGCAUUUUGCUUUGAAAAAUAUGUGACUAAAAUUUGACUUAUGCAAGAUAUUUAUAGUUUACAAAAAAGUCAUGGUGCAUCGCAAAUUGGGAAGCCAUGAACCACUAGUCAAAUUUGGAUAAAUCUAGGUUUCAAUAUUUGAUUAUACUUUCAUAAUAACUUA